This 201-nucleotide ribosomal RNA is filed under the name uncultured bacterium. RNAcentral's name for it is "partial 16S ribosomal RNA". It matches the Rfam family "Bacterial small subunit ribosomal RNA", at positions 1302 to 1500 of the family's 1533-position model. The record is from RNAcentral.
AGUCUGCAACUCGACUACAUGAAGCUGGAAUCGCUAGUAAUCGCGAAUCAGCAUGUCGCGGUGAAUACGUUCCCGGGUCUUGUACACACCGCCCGUCACACCAUGGGAGUCGAUAACGCCCGAAGUCAGUGACCCAACCUGUAAGGGAGGGAGCUGCCGAAGGCGGGAUUGAUAACUGGGGUGAAGUCGUAACAAGGUAGC